RNAcentral lists this ribosomal RNA (193 nucleotides) under uncultured Streptococcaceae bacterium. RNAcentral's name for it is "partial 16S ribosomal RNA". It matches the Rfam family "Bacterial small subunit ribosomal RNA", at positions 146 to 334 of the family's 1533-position model. Lineage: Bacteria; Bacillati; Bacillota; Bacilli; Lactobacillales; Streptococcaceae. The record is from RNAcentral.
ACUAUUGGAAACGAUAGCUAAUACCGCAUAACAGUAGAUAUCGCAUGAUAUUUGCUUGAAAGGUGCAAUUGCACCACUACCAGAUGGACCUGCGUUGUAUUAGCUAGUUGGUGAGGUAACGGCUCACCAAGGCAACGAUACAUAGCCGACCUGAGAGGGUGAUCGGCCACACUGGGACUGAGACACGGCCCAG